GCCGAGUUAGCACAAUGGUAGUGCAAUUCCCUUGUAAGGAAAAGGUUAUCUGUUCAAAUCGGAUACUCGGCA
Molecule: transfer RNA, 72 nt
Filed under: Caudoviricetes sp.
Lineage: Duplodnaviria; Heunggongvirae; Uroviricota; Caudoviricetes
Description: tRNA-Thr
Rfam family: tRNA
About the family: Transfer RNA (tRNA) molecules are approximately 80 nucleotides in length. Their secondary structure includes four short double-helical elements and three loops (D, anti-codon, and T loops).
Source: RNAcentral